This 797-nucleotide ribosomal RNA is filed under the name uncultured delta proteobacterium. RNAcentral's name for it is "bacterial SSU rRNA". It matches the Rfam family "Bacterial small subunit ribosomal RNA", at positions 134 to 916 of the family's 1533-position model. Lineage: Bacteria; Deltaproteobacteria. The record is from RNAcentral.
UGGUUCGGGAUAACCGGCCGAAAGGCUGGCUAAUACCGGAUAACGUCACCGCACACAAGUUCGGUGACCAAAGGAGGCGUAAGCUUCCGCCGUUGGAUGGGCCCGCGUACCAUUAGCUAGUUGGUAGGGUAACGGCCUACCAAGGCUACGAUGGUUAGCUGGUCUGAGAGGACGAUCAGCCACACUGGAACUGAGACACGGUCCAGACUCCUACGGGAGGCAGCAGUGGGGAAUAUUGCGCAAUGGGGGCAACCCUGACGCAGCGACGCCGCGUGAGCGAUGAAGGCCUUCGGGUCGUAAAGCUCUGUCAGGUGGGAAGAAACCUUCGCGGGUGAAUAAUCCGCGGAAUUGACGGUACCACCAGAGGAAGCACCGGCUAACUCCGUGCCAGCAGCCGCGGUAACACGGAGGGUGCGAGCGUUGUUCGGAAUUACUGGGCGUAAAGGGCGCGCAGGCGGUCCGGUCAGUCGGAAGUGAAAUCCGUCGGCUCAACCGGCGAAUUGCUUCCGAUACUACCGGACUUGAGUACGGGAGAGGAGAGCGGAAUUCCCAGUGUAGAGGUGAAAUUCGUAGAUAUUGGGAAGAACACCGGUGGCGAAGGCGGCUCUCUGGACCGAUACUGACGCUGAGGCGCGAAAGCGUGGGGAGCGAACAGGAUUAGAUACCCUGGUAGUCCACGCUGUAAACUUUGAGUACUAGGUGUAGGGGGUACCGACCCCCCCUGUGCCGCAGCAAACGCAUUAAGUACUCCGCCUGGGGACUACGGCCGCAAGGCUAAAACUCAAAGGAAUUGACGG